Molecule: ribosomal RNA, 549 nt
Filed under: uncultured bacterium
Lineage: Bacteria
Description: bacterial SSU rRNA
Rfam family: Bacterial small subunit ribosomal RNA
Source: RNAcentral
UAGGGAAUCUUCGGCAAUGGGGGCAACCCUGACCGAGCAACGCCGCGUGAGUGAAGAAGGUUUUCGGAUCGUAAAGCUCUGUUGUAAGAGAAGAACGAGUGUGGGAGUGGAAAGUUCACACUGUGACGGUAACUUACCAGAAAGGGACGGCUAACUACGUGCCAGCAGCCGCGGUAAUACGUAGGUCCCGAGCGUUAUCCGGAUUUAUUGGGCGUAAAGCGAGCGCAGGCGGUUAGAUAAGUCUGAAGUUAAAGGCUGUGGCUUAACCAUAGUACGCUUUGGAAACUGUUUAACUUGAGUGCAGAAGGGGAGAGUGGAAUUCCAUGUGUAGCGGUGAAAUGCGUAGAUAUAUGGAGGAACACCGGUGGCGAAAGCGGCUCUCUGGUCUGUAACUGACGCUGAGGCUCGAAAGCGCGGGGAGCAAACAGGAUUAGAUACCCUGGUAGUCCACGCCGUAAACGAUGAGUGCUAGGUGUUGGGUCCUUUCCGGGACUCAGUGCCGCAGCUAACGCAUUAAGCACUCCGCCUGGGGAGUACGACCGCAAGGUU